Molecule: microRNA precursor, 77 nt
Filed under: Ovis aries (sheep)
Lineage: Eukaryota; Metazoa; Chordata; Mammalia; Artiodactyla; Bovidae
Description: miRNA (ENSOARG00000023048.1)
Source: RNAcentral
UUGUGUUGGCAAAAAAGUUUGUUUGGGUUUUUCUGUAACAUCUUACAAACCCAAAUGAACUUUUUGGCCAACCCAAU